GACGAGGCACUACGGUGCUGAAGCAACAAAUGCCCUGCUUCCAGGAAAAGCCUCUAAGCAUCAGGUAACACGAAAUCGUACCCCAAACCGACACAGGUGGUCAGGUAGAGAAUACCAAGGCGCUUGAGAGAACUCGGGUGAAGGAACUAGGCAAAAUGGUGCCGUAACUUCGGGAGAAGGCACGCUGACACGUAGGUGAAGUGAUUUACUCAUGGAGCUGAAGUCAGUCGAAGAUACCAGCUGGCUGCAACUGUUUAUUAAAAACACAGCACUGUGCAAACACGAAAGUGGACGUAUACGGUGUGACGCCUGCCCGGUGCCGGAAGGUUAAUUGAUGGGGUCAGCGCAAGCGAAGCUCCUGAUCGAAGCCCCGGUAAACGGCGGCCGUAACUAUAACGGUCCUAAGGUAGCGAAAUUCCUUGUCGGGUAAGUUCCGACCUGCACGAAUGGCGUAAUGAUGGCCAGGCUGUCUCCACCCGAGACUCAGUGAAAUUGAACUCGCUGUGAAGAUGCAGUGUACCCGCGGCAAGACGGAAAGACCCCGUGAACCUUUACUAUAGCUUGACACUGAACAUUGAGCCUUGAUGUGUAGGAUAGGUGGGAGGCUUUGAAGUGUGGACGCCAGUCUGCAUGGAGCCGACCUUGAAAUACCACCCUUUAAUGUUUGAUGUUCUAACGUGGACCCGUAAUCCGGGUUGCGGACAGUGUCUGGUGGGUAGUUUGACUGGGGCGGUCUCCUCCUAAAGAGUAACGGAGGAGCACGAAGGUUGGCUAAUCCUGGUCGGACAUCAGGAGGUUAGUGCAAUGGCAUAAGCCAGCUUGACUGCGAGCGUGACGGCGCGAGCAGGUGCGAAAGCAGGUCAUAGUGAUCCGGUGGUUCUGAAUGGAAGGGCCAUCGCUCAACGGAUAAAAGGUACUCCGGGGAUAACAGGCUGAUACCGCCCAAGAGUUCAUAUCGACGGCGGUGUUUGGCACCUCGAUGUCGGCUCAUCACAUCCUGGGGCUGAAGUAGGUCCCAAGGGUAUGGCUGUUCGCCAUUUAAAGUGGUACGCGAGCUGGGUUUAGAACGUCGUGAGACAGUUCGGUCCCUAUCUGCCGUGGGCGCUGGAGAACUGAGGGGGGCUGCUCCUAGUACGAGAGGACCGGAGUGGACGCAUCACUGGUGUUCGGGUUGUCAUGCCAAUGGCACUGCCCGGUAGCUAAAUGCGGAAGAGAUAAGUGCUGAAAGCAUCUAAGCACGAAACUUGCCCCGA
RNAcentral lists this ribosomal RNA (1253 nucleotides) under Salmonella enterica. RNAcentral's name for it is "partial 23S ribosomal RNA". It matches the Rfam family "Bacterial large subunit ribosomal RNA", at positions 1568 to 2802 of the family's 2925-position model. Lineage: Bacteria; Pseudomonadati; Pseudomonadota; Gammaproteobacteria; Enterobacterales; Enterobacteriaceae. The record is from RNAcentral. RNAcentral also lists the same sequence under 3 other names.